Molecule: non-coding RNA, 117 nt
Organism: Sphingobium chungbukense
Lineage: Bacteria; Pseudomonadati; Pseudomonadota; Alphaproteobacteria; Sphingomonadales; Sphingobiaceae
Source: Rfam
GGCAUAUUUUGCCCAGGCGGAGCUCGACCGCCCGUUCAAACGAUGAUCGCCUUUAUCGACGAACAUCGCGAUGCCUAUGGGGUCGAGCCGAUCUGCCGGGUUCUGCCGAUCGCCCCA